This 171-nucleotide unclassified non-coding RNA is filed under the name uncultured Dermateaceae. Its description in RNAcentral is "sequence contains ITS1". Lineage: Eukaryota; Fungi; Ascomycota; Leotiomycetes; Helotiales; Dermateaceae. The record is from RNAcentral.
UUGAGAUGUAGGUGGCCUCACGGCCGCCGUCUCUCCACCCUGUGUAUUUAUACCUUUGUUGCUUUGGCGGGCCGUUAAGGCUUUGGCCUGACCACCGGCUUCGGCUGGUGUGCGCCCGCCAGAGGACCCCAAACUCUGAAAUAGUGUCGUCUGAGUACUAUAUAAUAGUUA